UACGUAGGUGGCAAGCGUUGUCCGGAAUUACUGGGCGUAAAGCGUGCGCAGGCGGUUCGUUGUGUCGGCGGUGAAAGCCCCGGGCUUAACCUGGGAAUGGCCGUCGAAACUGGCGAACUGGAGUGUGGCAGAGGGGGGUGGAAUUCCGCGUGUAGCAGUGAAAUGCGUAGAGAUGCGGAGGAACACCGAUGGCGAAGGCAGCCCCCUGGGCUGACACUGACGCUCAGGCACGAAAGCGUGGGGAGCAAACAGG
Molecule: ribosomal RNA, 253 nt
Filed under: uncultured bacterium
Lineage: Bacteria
Description: partial 16S ribosomal RNA
Rfam family: Bacterial small subunit ribosomal RNA
Source: RNAcentral